GUUAGCGGCGGACGGGUGAGUAACACGUGGGCAACCUGCCUGUAAGACUGGGAUAACACCGGGAAACCGGUGCUAAUACCGGAUAAUCCUUUUCCUCUCAUGAGGAAAAGCUGAAAGUCGGUUUCGGCUGACACUUACAGAUGGGCCCGCGGCGCAUUAGCUAGUUGGUGAGGUAACGGCUCACCAAGGCGACGAUGCGUAGCCGACCUGAGAGGGUGAUCGGCCACACUGGGACUGAGACACGGCCCAGACUCCUACGGGAGGCAGCAGUAGGGAAUCUUCCACAAUGGACGAAAGUCUGAUGGAGCAACGCCGCGUGAGCGAUGAAGGCCUUCGGGUCGUAAAG
Molecule: ribosomal RNA, 346 nt
Filed under: Bacillus sp. R-31835
Lineage: Bacteria; Bacillati; Bacillota; Bacilli; Caryophanales; Bacillaceae
Description: bacterial SSU rRNA
Rfam family: Bacterial small subunit ribosomal RNA
Source: RNAcentral